AACGAACGCUGGCGGCAUGCCUAACACAUGCAAGUCGAACGAGACCUUCGGGUCUAGUGGCGCACGGGUGCGUAACGCGUGGGAACCUGCCCUUAGGUUCGGAAUAACUCCCCGUAAGGGGUGCUAAUACCGGAUAAUGUCUUCGGACCAAAGAUUUAUCGCCUUUGGAUGGGCCCGCGUUGGAUUAGCUAGUUGGUAGGGUAAAAGCCUACCAAGGCGACGAUCCAUAGCUGGUCUGAGAGGAUGAUCAGCCACACUGGGACUGAGACACGGCCCAGACUCCUACGGGAGGCAGCAGUGGGGAAUAUUGGACAAUGGGCGAAAGCCUGAUCCAGCAAUGCCGCGUGAGUGAUGAAGGCCUUAGGGUUGUAAAGCUCUUUUACCCGGGAUGAUAAUGACAGUACCGGGAGAAUAAGCGCCGGCUAACUCCGUG
Molecule: ribosomal RNA, 433 nt
Filed under: uncultured bacterium
Lineage: Bacteria
Description: partial 16S ribosomal RNA
Rfam family: Bacterial small subunit ribosomal RNA
Source: RNAcentral